UACGGAGGGCGCAAGCGUUGUUCGGAAUCACUGGGCGUAAAGCGCGUGUAGGCGGCUUGGCAAGUCGGGUGUGAAAUCCCGAGGCUCAACCUCGGAACUGCACUCGAAACUGCUUGGCUAGAGUCCCGGAGAGGGGGGCGGAAUUCCCGGUGUAGGGGUGAAAUCCGUAGAUAUCGGGAGGAACACCAGUGGCGAAGGCGGCCACCUGGACGGUGUCUGACGCUGAGACGCGAAAGCGUUGAGAGCAAACAGG
RNAcentral lists this ribosomal RNA (253 nucleotides) under uncultured bacterium. Its description in RNAcentral is "partial 16S ribosomal RNA". It matches the Rfam family "Bacterial small subunit ribosomal RNA", at positions 524 to 776 of the family's 1533-position model. The record is from RNAcentral.